This 624-nucleotide ribosomal RNA is filed under the name Triticum aestivum (bread wheat). RNAcentral describes it as "partial small subunit ribosomal RNA". The record is from RNAcentral. Lineage: Eukaryota; Viridiplantae; Streptophyta; Magnoliopsida; Poales; Poaceae.
AUGGGGGACGUGUCCACGAUUCAACGCCCGCCCGGCACUGCCGCCAAGCAGGGUGAUCAGGUUGGAGAGCUGGUGUCGGCCGGAUGGACCAACGACACCCACAACAUGUACAUCAGCUCCAUGGAGGCGUCCUUCAUGCAGCAACUCCGUGGCCAGCAGCAGCAGCACCACCACGCCGCUCCCGACAGGAACAUCACCCAUGUGGGUCUUGUUGGCCAUGGGCUCAAGCCAUACCAAGAAGGAGCCUCCGAUAACCUCGGUUCUGAGAAGAACGUGCCUCGCCCGCGUGAUGUGGGUGCACGAGGCCUGCCCGAGGAUCCGUGGGCGAGGCGCUUCAAGCCACGCGAUUCUGCUAUGAAUCGUCGUGGCGAUGGGGUUGGUGCUUCCGAUGGUGAAUCGGGCACCGAUACGGUUCAAGGGAUGGCUCCGAAGCAUGGAAGAGAAGUGAUCAGUUGCGUCGGAGGAAAUCCUGUUGACAAAACCUCAGAAGUCUGUGGUCAGAACUUUCCUGAAGACGAGGUUCAUUCCGCUGCUCAGCCAAGCAAAUCGUGCAAGAAAAGGAGGCCUGCCUCUUCCACUGCUGCAGGUUCUUUCAUCUCGAUGCUCGGCGACAAGCGGUGGUGA